GUGCAUCUAUUGGACAGACAUGGAGCGAUGACUGCUGGUUGCUAGGUUUCCCUACAGCUGCAAGAAAAACAGUGUCUUUGCCUUUCUCUCUGGUUGUGGCAGCCAAGACUGAAUGGAGAAGUAAAUAU
RNAcentral lists this small nucleolar RNA (128 nucleotides) under Myotis lucifugus (little brown bat). RNAcentral's name for it is "Small nucleolar RNA SNORA31 (ENSMLUG00000026046.1)". Lineage: Eukaryota; Metazoa; Chordata; Mammalia; Chiroptera; Vespertilionidae. The record is from RNAcentral.